This 468-nucleotide ribosomal RNA is filed under the name uncultured bacterium. Its description in RNAcentral is "bacterial SSU rRNA". It matches the Rfam family "Bacterial small subunit ribosomal RNA", at positions 329 to 793 of the family's 1533-position model. The record is from RNAcentral.
UUCCAGACUCCUACGGGAGGCAGCAGUGAGGAAUAUUGGUCAAUGGGCGGAAGCCUGAACCAGCCAAGUCGCGUGAGGGAAUAAGGCCCUACGGGUCGUAAACCUCUUUUGUCGGGGAACAAAGGCGCCCACGGGUGGGCGGAUGAGUGUACCCGAAGAAAAAGCAUCGGCUAACUCCGUGCCAGCAGCCGCGGUAAUACGGAGGAUGCGAGCGUUAUCCGGAUUUAUUGGGUUUAAAGGGUGCGUAGGCGGACAGUCAAGUCAGCGGUAAAAAUGCGGUGCUCAACGCCGUACAGCCGUUGAAACUGGCAGUCUUGAGUGGGCGAGAAGUAUGCGGAAUGCGCGGUGUAGCGGUGAAAUGCAUAGAUAUCACGCAGAACUCCGAUUGCGAAGGCAGCAUACCGGCGCCCGACUGACGCUGAGGCACGAAAGCGUGGGUAUCGAACAGGAUUAGAUACCCUUGUAUUG